ACACCGUCCCCUUUCGGUCUCGGACAAGACUUCAUCACUUCAACACCGAUCGUAUCAAGCACCAAAGGAGAGGAAUCGUCAACUUCUCAUUGUCAGCUUUCGACGUCGAACCUUCAGAAUACCGGAUGGGCGGAUCUACCAACCGUAAUCACACUUCCGGCCGACGAACGCCCUCCGUUAACACAAGUGACCCGUGUCUUGUGGCCGAUAGAGUUGACCCAGUCGCCAUUUUCCUUACCGAUCCCGGAACUUUUGACGGCCAUGGAGAGGAAGAAAUUGAAACAAAGAAGUUCCCGAACUUUUGACGGCCAUGGAGAGGAAGAAAUUGGAACAAAGAAGUUCCGGAACUUUUGACGGGCAUAGAAUAGGAGCACUAACGUCGAAACUUGAGGUUUGUAAAGCCGCUUAGGCGAUUCUUUCUUCGUAUCGUCUGAGCUUGAAGCGUCUAAACACGAUUCUGGGACUCUCACAACUGACCCAUUCAGUUUAUGAACGGUCCAAAUUUAGGUGAAGGAAUACACAGGAGGAGGUUGAUAGUGAUUAACCUUACCUUAAAUUGAUCUGGAAUGGAGCUUGUGCUGGACAUCCAUUUGCCGGUCUCUCGACUAGAACAAGCCUCUUCCAUCUUAUCGCUGACGGACAGAAUCAUGUCGUCUAAUGUCAUUACAUUAAUUUCAAAAUGGGGAUCUCUGGUAGUAAGUUCCGAGGGUUUGAACAACGCAUUCGGCCUACACUAAGAUGUUCUCAUUUUCACCGAUAACGAUCAUUAGUUCACUGCCACGCACUUCGUCCGGGGGAUUCCAUUUCUUAGGAACUAAAACUUAUUUCCUUAUUACUGCACGGUAACAGUAAAAAUUCUCAAUUUUUGCCCGACUUUGGUAACUUUUGUUUAAAAAAUCCCCUUUAACGCAGUUUUUUGGGGAAAAAGAAUUUUUAGAAUUAAUGAUAUCUGCCUCAGAAUCAUUCCGGCGGGAUUGAUAGUUGAACGAUAAUCUUAUGUUUAUUUUUAUCUGAAGAAUCAAGGAACCUGGAACAAAAAAAAGACAAAACAUCAGCAGAGAUUGAAUUAAUUGAGACAAUUUGAUUAAAAAUUGGUUGCGUUUCGCGUUCAGAGCGGACGUAUUUAUAAACGCACAAACGAUUGUAUUCUUACGAAAUCAAUUGCUUCAAACGACUUUUAGGUUUUUUCGAAGGGAGUUGGGUUGAGGUAUAAAAAUAUACAUCGUCAAAUAUAGAAAUAUAUGUAGGUAAAUUUACCGAGUUUCGCUGACCUACAUUUUACGCUGCAAAAUUUAAUCUUCUGUUAGUUUUUCGUAUAAUAAAAUGAGGAAAAGUUAAGCUUUACGACCCACAGCAAAUUUUUCUUACAAAUAAGGAAUAAAUUGUAAAAAAUUAAAGUCAUAAAAUGUUACUUCAUUUUUAAUUAAAAAUACAGAUCACGAGAGGUAAUUUUGAAACGUGUGAACUCUUGAAACUGAUUCCAGCUGAAGCUGUCGUCCAAAUAGGUAUGCGUCAAAGUUUUUUAGUACAAAAUAAUUUGAAAAAAGUAUAUAUUUGGAUAGAGGACACAAACGUUUUUAAAUUCAAUAGCGGCUGUUUGAAUUAGAGUAAAAAAUGCAUCCGCCUUUAGAACCCUCUGUAAAUAGUCCCAUCUAUUUAUGACGUCGCAAGUCCCAAUAACACUUUAAAGAAAAAAAAUCGAACUUCAAAUCUAUUUUUACUAGUUGAGCCUUUUUUUAACUGAGAUAAGUAUUUCAUAAUUAAACGUUCCCAUAUUGUCUUACAUAAUCAAACAUUUCUCAAGUAGCAAGCAAACAACUGAUGUAAAAAAAAUCCGAUAGUGAGAUCGAUCGAGAAGAUAAUAAUUACUGCCGAUGAGUAUGUUCGAACUUUCCCAGUUCAAGUAAGGUAGGUGUUAGUGACUGAUUGUCCUUACUUUGUGACUCCGGUAAGAAUUGUUUUAUCCGUAAAAAUCCAUCUGCUUAUUCUCUUUCCCAUUAUCUUGGUGUGUAAAAGGAGAUUACUUGGAUCUUUCGGAGGGAGUGCCUAUCCUUCCUCUCUAAAAAAAGACCCUUAAAACCUGCCUUUCUUUACUUGAAACAACUGGCUCAAUGCAUAGGUCUGUUGCACGCAAGGGAUACAGUCAAAUGAGGAGCCAGAUAUAAUUUGUGAAAUUGUACAAAAAUAACGUCGAACAGAUCCAAAAUGUCUUUGUCUCACAAUUUUCGUGGUCAAUAUUUUACAUUUUCAAAUUUACCGAAUCUGCGCGCGAUGUUUUAUUACAAUAAGGGGAUACGUAUCCGGCCACUACGCGACCCAUUAUGAAGUUUGAUAUUUUCCAGCAUUCAGGAGUCCUUACUGAAAAACCUAUUCUAACUUAGCAAACAAUCUGUCUAACUGCUGCAGACCUUUCAUUUAAGAUUUCUUACUUUUCAGAGCAUUCGUUUUGCAUUUUUCUUCUAAGUCAAGAGAAAAAAAAACUUUAAAACAUUUGAAAUCGUAUGGUAGAGAGAUUGAAGACAAUAAUCGUUCAUUCUCUUAGCAAUAACCUGAUUGUUGAAAAUGAAGAAACAAAUAUUAUGUAAGUAGAGAUAAUAUACCGGAGCACUUCCAGUUCGGAUCGUCCCAGGAGCACUUCCAGUUCGGAUCGUCCGAAUUUUUUAGACUCUUGGAGUUCGGAUCCUCCGAAUUUUUCAGACUCGUUUUACAUCAGAUAUGAACGGCUCCACUUUGCAACUUUUUCAGACACAUUUACAGCUGAAAUCUCACUCCCUAAUUACGAGACCAAACUUUCUAUAAAGUAGGAGUGGCAAGCCACCCAAAACUGAACUCACAGGUUCCAUAACGUUUUCUGUCGUUUUGUUCCAUAUUGAUCUGCUCACAAAACACACAAGACAGUGAAACUCGGUGACCGAGAAUAAAUUAGUUUCUUUCGCGCGGUUUUUUGC
Molecule: long non-coding RNA, 2948 nt
Filed under: Bemisia tabaci
Lineage: Eukaryota; Metazoa; Arthropoda; Insecta; Hemiptera; Aleyrodidae
Description: lncRNA ENSSSA2NGG012487
Source: RNAcentral